RNAcentral lists this ribosomal RNA (401 nucleotides) under uncultured archaeon. RNAcentral describes it as "partial 16S ribosomal RNA". It matches the Rfam family "Archaeal small subunit ribosomal RNA", at positions 826 to 1224 of the family's 1478-position model. The record is from RNAcentral.
GCCUGGGAAGUACGUACGCAAGUAUGAAACUUAAAGGAAUUGGCGGGGGAGCACCACAAGGGGUNANNNCUGCGGUUCAAUUGGAGUCAACGCCAGAAAUCUUACCUGGGGAGACAGCAGAAUGAAGGUCAAGCUGAAGACUUUACCAGACACGCUGAGAGGUGGUGCAUGGCCGUCGCCAGCUCGUGCCGUGAGAUGUCCUGUUAAGUCAGGUAACGAGCGAGACCCCUGCGUCUAGUUGCUACCAUUACUCUCUGGAGCAGUGGAGCGAAUUAGACGGACCGCCACAGUUAAUGUGGAGGANNNNNNNNGCCACGGCAGGUCAGUAUGCCCCGAAACCCUAGGGCUACACGCGGGCUGCAAUGGUAUUGACAAUGUGUUCCGAAUCCGAAAGGAGGAGG